Molecule: long non-coding RNA, 1030 nt
Organism: Symphalangus syndactylus (siamang)
Lineage: Eukaryota; Metazoa; Chordata; Mammalia; Primates; Hylobatidae
Source: RefSeq, a predicted model, not a curated record
GAGUGCUCCAGGGAGACUUUCUCUCUCUAAGGAGCUGGCACUACUGCCCCUGUUCCUACCUGUUUGUUUUGGACACAUCCAUUGGGAAAACCGGAUACAGGAUCCCAGCCCCCAUCCUAAAACAGUGACAUGGCCAAGGUCUAGGCUGGAGGACUCCUGGGCUGACAAUGCCAAACUUCGUUUUAAGUCUUUCUAACUGAUACAGUCAAAAAUUCCCUGAGAGCUGUGAAUUCUGGAGUUUGAUAAUACAUCAAAGAAUCCAGGCCCCAAAAUAUAAGCAAAUGUUGUGCCUGUUUAAGAUAAAGACAAGGUCUCACUAUGCUGCCCAGGCUGGUCUCAAACUCCUGAACUCAAAUGAUCUUCCCAUCUCGGCCUCCCAAAGUUUUAGGAUUACAGGAGGUGGUGAGCCCCAGCCUUCUAGGAUGGCAGGCCAGGCUUCCAGAACUUUCCAUCUCAGCCACACAAAACCAAGAGACUGAAGCAAAAGGUAACCCCCUGAGGAACUCCAGGGAUUUGUGAAAAACUCAAGAGGGAGUGGUGCCCGGGCCUAAUCCGCAUCCAGAGGCCGUUCUGUUGGUGAGCAGUGGCUCAUUUACUGAAAUACAGACUGCACCCUGCGGCCGCGGCAGCCACGCCCCUCUGCACCCACCAGUCCUGUUCGCUGGCCUAGGCUUCAGGCCGCCAGCACCCACAUCUUUUUGCCAAGGGCUUUCUCUGGCCGCCACAGCCCACUGAGCCCAUGCAGGACAAGUGAAGUACCUGAGAGAUCAUGCCCCUGGCAGCUGCCCUUAACCAACCACUGACAGGAGUGGAUGGAGGAAGACGCCCGUUUCCUUGCCCCUUGGUGGAAAUAGCCUGGAGGCAUGUUUACACUGGCUCCCAGAGUUCCCCAGUGGGAUCGAGCCCCAGUUGCCCAGACCAGUAACUUGCUCAAAAAUGUCCCCUGUGUGUGUCUUCUCAUCUCUGUCUCAUGUCCCCACUCCCUUACUCCCUUACUUCCCGAGACUACCUCCCAAACAAAUCACUUGAA